Molecule: transfer RNA, 85 nt
Filed under: Scopulariopsis brevicaulis (arsenic fungus)
Lineage: Eukaryota; Fungi; Ascomycota; Sordariomycetes; Microascales; Microascaceae
Also listed under: 1 other name
Description: tRNA-Ser
Rfam family: tRNA
About the family: Transfer RNA (tRNA) molecules are approximately 80 nucleotides in length. Their secondary structure includes four short double-helical elements and three loops (D, anti-codon, and T loops). Further hydrogen bonds mediate the characteristic L-shaped molecular structure. tRNAs have two regions of fundamental functional importance: the anti-codon, which is responsible for specific mRNA codon recognition, and the 3' end, to which the tRNAs corresponding amino acid is attached (by aminoacyl-tRNA synthetases). tRNAs cope with the degeneracy of the genetic code in two manners: having more than one tRNA (with a specific anti-codon) for a particular amino acid; and 'wobble' base-pairing, i.e. permitting non-standard base-pairing at the 3rd anti-codon position.
Source: RNAcentral
AGAGAAUUGGUCGAGUGGUUUAUGGCGGUUAUCUUGAAAAUAACUAAAGAUGUGUCUUUCAUGGGUUCGAAUCCCAUAUUCUCUG